CAGGCCAGACCCACGCUCCCCAAACUGCAAAGGAAUAAAGCAUGAGCCAAAACUGCAGAGGAUUAAAAACAUAAUAAGACUUAGUCUAUGAACUUUAUCUUUAUUAUCACAUUUUUUAUGUAUGAGGAGCACCAGCCAAGGUAUACGUCAUGAGAAGGGCAACCGAUUGAAUAAAACAUUUCAAACACUUAUCUCCAACUACAUGGAAAAGGCUGAAAUGGAAAUAAUAAGGGCUUUUAAAUGAAAAGGCUGAAGUGGAAAUAAUAAGGGCUUUUAAAUGUCUUUCCAUGAUCCAAAUGAGAAGAAAAGAAGUAAGAAAACAUUGUGGUCUUUUAAAACGCUGGAGAAUUCUGCUAUAAAUUCCAAGCUCUUUUCAUACUAAAGGCCAAAAUAAUACGCAUUGCAUUUCUUUUUCGGUGGCAUAACCAUACUUUACGAACAAUAAACAAAUAAAAAUGCGACAAAAAAA
This is a long non-coding RNA of Portunus trituberculatus (swimming crab), 469 nucleotides long. RefSeq lists it as uncharacterized. The record is from RefSeq and is a predicted model, not a curated record. The transcript is spliced from 2 exons. NCBI's taxonomy places the organism in Eukaryota, Metazoa, Arthropoda, Malacostraca, Decapoda, Portunidae.